AGAGUUUGAUCCUGGCUCAGGAUGAACGCUGGCGGCGUGCCUAACACAUGCAAGUCGAACGGAGAUUAAACGCUGAUGCGAUUUCGGUCAAAUCUUGUUUAAUCUUAGUGGCGGACGGGUGAGUAACGCGUGGGCAACCUGCCUCAUACUGGGGGAUAGCAGUUGGAAACGACUGAUAAUACCGCAUAAGCGCACGGCAUCGCAUGAUGCAGUGUGAAAAACUCCGGUGGUAUGAGAUGGGCCCGCGUCAGAUUAGCCAGUUGGCAGGGUAACGGCCUACCAAAGCGACGAUCUGUAGCCGGACUGAGAGGUCGGACGGCCACAUUGGGACUGAGACACGGCCCAAACUCCUACGGGAGGCAGCAGUGGGGGAUAUUGCACAAUGGAGGAAACUCUGAUGCAGCGACGCCGCGUGAGUGAAGAAGUAUUUCGGUAUGUAAAGCUCUAUCAGCAGGGAAGAUAAUGACGGUACCUGACUAAGAAGCACCGGCUAAAUACGUGCCAGCAGCCGCGGU
Molecule: ribosomal RNA, 515 nt
Filed under: uncultured Butyrivibrio sp.
Lineage: Bacteria; Bacillati; Bacillota; Clostridia; Lachnospirales; Lachnospiraceae
Description: bacterial SSU rRNA
Rfam family: Bacterial small subunit ribosomal RNA
Source: RNAcentral